Long non-coding RNA from Cygnus olor (mute swan), 7333 nucleotides. RefSeq lists it as uncharacterized. The transcript is spliced from 2 exons. The record is from RefSeq and is a predicted model, not a curated record. Lineage: Eukaryota; Metazoa; Chordata; Aves; Anseriformes; Anatidae.
AAAAGAGCAAAAACAACCACCCUGCUGCUGGUAGGAAUAACCUGCUUGUUUUGUGCUCUGUGGUUCUUGGUGUAAUUGAAAGGAUGGUAUUUUACCCCAGUGCCUUUAACACAAACCUAGAAUAGAAAUAAGUUGGAGAAGUGUUGGAUUCUGACCUCAAUAGGCGAUUGCUUGUUUAAAUGGUAGUUGAAAUUAUGGCUAAAGUAUUUAGAGUAUAAGGCUGAGGGCUUAUCCACUGGGAACAGUGCAGGGGCAAUGCAGAGAAAGGAUGGUAAAGCAGGAAAAAAACCUGCAGAAAUGUAAUGAGAAGAUACAUAAGGUAAAGAUGUGCUGCCCAUGUUACUGUGAGGUGAAAAUGUGUUGCUGUCAGAACUCAGCGGGAUGUAGGGUAAAGUCCACUGGCUUCAAAAUAACCUGCAAUAAGAUAGCUGGUAAGUUGUUACUUUAAGUGUCCAAGUUAGCCUGCUGAAGAAUGCCAGUGCAGACCUGUCUUAGUAACGAUAACUCGGUGUAGACAGAUGAGCUGUUGCAGGUGUGUAUGCAAUAGUUCACAAGCUGCUGUCUUUUUUAUUAUUCCUCCCUCUCUCCUGUCCAUUGGGAAAGCUUGACUGGGAGAAUUCAAUGUUGUAUGCAAGCAGGCAAGCUUUUAUAUGAGGGGAGGAAGCUUCAUCAGGAGACCUGUAACAUUGAUCAGAAUGUGGUUUUCGACAACAGUUUCUGCAAGGUUGCUUUUGACUGAUCCUUGAUCUGUGGUUGUACCUGAUUAACAGGGGGGCACUGAGUGGGAUACUUUAAUCUGUGUUGAGGAAAAGAGAAGCUGAUGCUUGUUUUUAAAUCAAGCCUUUUUUUUUUUUUUCUGAUCAGAGUAAGCCUCAGCAUUUCUUACCUCACAGCAUUUGAUUCAAGUCUGAAAGAAAACCGCACUCAUGUAGUCAUGAGUCCUGUCUUGAGUUUUAAGGCAACUUUCUGGAAUGCGACUUUACUUUUUAUUGCACAGCCCAGGCCCUAUUGCCAUCUAAGUCAGGAACUGCAAGGUGCAAUCUUGUGUACAGAGCUUAGCAUGAGUAUAUAACCGUUUCCUCCUGACAGACUUGUGAAGGUGAAUAGCAAAGAUGUGUCAUAGCUUUGGCAUUUAGUUUAGUAUGAAGCUGUUAAUUCUUUGGGGAAGGCUGCUCUUGCUAAAAUGAGGUCUACAGUGUCUCCACAAAGCUGUUAAUCCUCCUCUGAUAACGAAUACAGAAAAGCUAAGUAACUAAUUCACAGGUACCUUAGAAUUUGAAAAUUCUUCUAAGUAUAACCAUUAUUUUGUUCUUUUUUCCUAUUGCAAGGUUUGGAAUUCUUUUAUUGAAGUCAGAGGUCCAGAUCUCUUCAUAAAAUACUAGACUCUUGUACUCAAAAGAGCAUUGACGAAAGUAUCACUGUUAGCUACUGUAGGAGUUCAGUUGACAACCUUAGUGGAGAGCAAGACAGCUUCCAGAACGUGGUACCAACACAUCCUGUUAUAGAAUGGGUGAGUUCUGGCUGGAGAAUUAAAUUUGAUAUGUGGGACUGAAUGCUGUUCAAAUCUUUGUAUCAGUGAGAGAAGCCCCUUAAAAUGUUGCUCCUCUUAAGCAUCUGUCUUGUCUAAUUGACAUUUUUUAUUGUUUUGUUUUUGUUUUUGAAAGGCAAGUGGACAAACCAUAUACAAACGCAUUUAAAUUAAAAAACAAGAUGAGUGAGAUCCAUGAUGUUUAGAGGCCAUCUUGCUUCAAUGAUGCUAUGAUCUGAGUAGAAAAUCCUACCAUUUUGAGUUGUAUUUCAUGAGGAUAUCCCUAAGUCUUGUUUACACACUGAUUUAUGUUUCCUGAGAAUCCAUUCCAAAUUCAUUGAAAGCUACACUUCAAGGUAGGGUUACACAAUCACAAGCAGUUGAAUUAGAUGAGAGGUAGGUAGUUGACUAUUACUUAGAUAGUUGUUUUUUUUUUUUUUUUCUUUCUCCACCCCUACUUUGUGUGCUGCCCCUUAAACUCAGAAUUAGCGUUUUAGUGCUAAGGAUGUGAAUUUUUCAUUGUCUUAACUUUGUGUUUAUAAACUGGGGAAGAGGUCAAUGUGCGUUCUUUUGGGUUUAACUAUAGAUUAUGUGAGAAAACUUGGGCUUUAAGAAAAUGCAGGUAACCCUGAAAUGUAUUUGUACGUCAUGUUCUUUGAUACAUAGUGUAGAAAAAUAUUCCAGGUUUUCAGAAUAAAAACGGAUGAAAAAACAGCCUUCUGGAAAACCAUUGACCAGGUACCUUCAAACUUUGGGAUGUUUAGGUGUUUCAAGGAAAUUGAAUCAAGGAAAUUCAGUUUCCUUGAGAUAAUUUCCUUGAAACAGCUCUUUUCUUUUUUUUUAAGCUUAGCUGCUGUGUCAUCUUUCUGGUCAUAGAUACUUAUCAUGCUAUUCUUAACUAAAACAAAACCAAAAAUAUAAAAACCUCCACCACCAAAAAAAAAAUAGAAAACAAAACAAACAAAGGAAGAUGAAAAGAGAAGUUGCCAUUAGCUUGAGAUAGAAACAUCUCUUAAGUUCCCAGAGCAGGAGACCUGAUACAGAAACGGGUUGGAGCUGACCCAUCCUCCCAGCCUUGUUUUCCCUUUCACAGCCACCCUGCAGUGUUUGUCUCCACCGUUUAGAAACCUGAACUUCUUUGCACCCCUGUUUUUUGCAUAGUGCAGCCACGCUGUUGGGGCUUCUUUCUGCUGCUUUCCCUGGUCCAAAGGGGAAUCUCUUCCCUAUAACUUAGCUUGGCAGUGUCUGGGGGCUCUGAGCACUUCUAAAUUCAGAACCAGGAUUUCAGGCAAUUGCUAGAGCGCGCUGUGCUUUGUGAGGUGCAAAGACAUGAAGAAAGGGGGAAAGGGUAACUGCUAGUAAAGAAUAUUUCUAGCAAUCUUUAGAAUCUCUUAAGCUUGCUGUAGUGGCUCUAGUUAGGAGGAAAGCUUUCAAAAAUAAUAAGCAGGUUAAGCUUUCUGAAGCUAUAAGUAAAUGUGAAAGAACUGCUGUGUAUUAAGAUUAGGAAUCCAAAGUGCAGAUAUGCUGGGACAAAGUGAGGGGGAAGAUCUCAAUGUUGUCAGUCUCACUGAAUUUGUAAAGAAAAGUUAUGUAGCAUAGACUGACAUGUGUGUCAUGAACACUUUAGGGUGUGGGCAGUGGAGAGAGCAGCCAGAUGUACCUUCUGAGCCAGCUGUAGCUAGCUGAUAAGCCCUUCCAGAAGAGUUCUGCUAGGAGGAAAUAGCAGUAAUCACAGUUUGUGGUUACGAGAUCAUGGAUUAUCGCCGGGAAGCUAAAAGGAUAAACAGUGGAUCAGCAUCCUUGGUAUUAAGAAAACACAACAAAACAGAAGAGGUCUUAAAAAAUCCACAAGUUCAGAUUGCCACCGGGAUAUUUCCUAAACAAUCAGUGACUUCUCAGCAAUGCAGUGGGUUUUUCAUGUCUGUGUUAAGCUGUCCACUGUUAACUGUCAAAGUGGACAACAGCAGGGAGAAGCUUGGCUGCAUCCUUCUGUGCUCCAAGUUUCACCUCCAGGGCUGUGAGCAAGUAGGGAGGCCUCAGAAGGGAGUGAUGAGAAAAAUUGUAGUUAUUCAGGCAUACUGAACUACUUAUUAGACUAAAUUGCCUAAAUAACUUUUGAGUUUUUUAUUGUGGGUGGGGGUUUGUUUGUUUUUUAGUUUGUUUGCUUUUAACACUUAAAGUAUCUCUGGUGUGAAUGAAGUUCCUCAGGGCAUAGUUCCAGGCCUUGAAAACUGCAUUUGUCAAUAUGGCCACUGCUGAUGAAACCAUAUUCAAAAAAUUCUGAGAGAAUCAGCAUAAUAGAACAGUGGGUCCACUUCACUUUUAUUGACAGAUAAGUUUUCAAGAUGAUUUCGCAUCUUAAACCUUUAAAGAUGAAGAAAUUUUGUAAGUGCUUAAUAACCUUUUGGAAUCAUGACAGUUUUCUGUGAUGAAGAAGCAUUUUAAGCUUACCUUUGGAAAUUACUGUUUGCUGAAUGCUCUUUAUUUUGCUAGCAUGUAAAAAGUGCCAAAAACUUAAGUGUCUGGUCACUCUUUAACUCAUUAAUAAUUAAAAUUUGAAUUACCUUCAGAAUAUAGUGGAACUUUUGUGAAGCGAGACAUCAAAAUGCAUGCUCAAUAUUUAUUUACAGGGGUUAUAUUGAAGUUAUGGUGUGGCGUUCCUCACUUCAGUAGGGCUAUACCACUUUACAUUGGCUGAAAAUCUUUGCGCUUGUGGAAGCAAUCUCAGAGGAGUACAGGCAGUGAUCUCUCAUGUUUUUCAGAUCGUCACAGGUGCCUUUGCACCUGUCUGUAAUCCUAGGGGUGAGAACAGACAGCUCUUCCAUGCAGCUGCAACUCUUGUGGCAGCUAUGAAAGACAGUGGAUUAUUUGGAUCCACUGGGCUGAGAAUUUCCCUGUGAACAAAAUGAGCAUGAGUUGUAUCUUAACAGCUCCACUACCUGAAGAGAAGAGGGCCCUUCUUUCACCCAGGGCUGAGCUGAACAGACAAGGUUCGUUGCAAAUUCCUCUUUACUGUGCUUAUAGCCAUAAAACUACUGCCUGCCUUCCCACUUCCAGUGCAAGUAUCAAAAUACUCUUUAACCUUUUGAAUAGUAGCAAAUCAAGAAAUUUGUAGUCAAAGACAGUACUUAUUCUCAUUUUUUUUUGCUGUGGUAGUCUUAAGCCUUGCUUCCUUUUUGUUUUUUAAAAAAAAAAAUAAAAUACAUGUAUCACUUUUCUACAGGUGGGCAUGUAUAAAGUAGUUUUUUUUAUGUAUUGAAACAUUUAAAAAAAAUGAAGCCCAUAGUAAAGUAUGUCUGCUUGGUUAGCAUGCAUGAGUCAAUUUCUGUAAUUCUUAUGCCUCAAAUAUUUGUGCCAGUGCAGUGAGUGAUGUGGUAUGUAGCAUCCUGAACUGCACAGGAAUGUAGUUCCUUUACAUUAAGGGGUUUGCACUGGAAUUGUUCAGAUGAGUGAAGAUUUUUCAUAGGUAGGCAGCAGGUUCUUAGGAUUUUGCUGUUGCCCAAGUGGGACGUGAGUUCAUUCAGCAGGGACUUCCUUGGUGAAGAAGUCUAGCAAGUUUCCUAGAUGCUAAAUCAUUGUUUCAGGAGGGGGAAGAAGUGACUCUGGAGCACCAGCAGUUUUCAGUAAAGUUAUUUUGCAUGUUCCCAGGGGCUUGUGGAAAUGAAUGGGAGGAGCGGGUCCUAAUGAGUUCUGUGGUGCUGCUGACGCAGGUGUGUUACCCCCACUUGAGUUUGAGAAACAGAGGUCCUGACCUGGUCCGUCUUUAAAUCCAUUUAAGUUUACUCAUCCAGUUUAUCGGCUAUAAAUUUUUUGUUGACAUCCUCAUAAUAUUCACCUGCAAGGAAAACAUUCAUUAAAACAGCAGGAUGGAUGUGCCUUUCAUAUUUUAGUGUAAUCUGUUUGGUAUGUCCUGCACUCAGCUGGCAAGAUGCCAGGCGAAGCACACCACAUCAGUAAAACUAUGAAGCCUCUCAAACUUCCGUCAUGGGAGAAACAGUUUGUUACCUCUGACAACAACAUUUUGAGGGAUUUAAUUGCAGGUGUUUAGGGACGAGUCAUAUGUUGUAGUGUGGUUACAGGUGACUAGUUUGAGACCUCUGAGAAAGGUGAAGCAAGCUGUUUUGUACUGUUGUCCCCAUAUGUACUACUGUUUUCCUCUAAAUGCCAGAGAAUCAGUUUUGUUUCCAGAUAACUUUUCAGUAAGUUGUAAUGAGAGUUCACGGGUAGCUUGGACAGCACCAUGCCUGGUCUUCAGACGGUAACUUUCUGCUCAUGAGACGGGGUGAAUGGCAAUGGUCAGUGUUAUAUAAUCUUAUAAAUAGAUUAAGAUUGUCUCAAAAUUGUUCAUAAACCAAAGAGAAUAAAAGCUGGGAGAAUUCCAUCUUCUAAGGAGGCUGUUGUUAGAAACCUGAUCAUGCUGGCUUUUAAGAUCCUUACACCUUUUGUGUCCGUGCCCUGGAAGGUGGUACUCUGAAACCCGAGUCCUUUGGUUUGAUCCCAUCUCAAAGCAAGAUGCUAUGUAGAGGUAGAAAUACAGCUUUUUCCCUGGCAUACCUGAUCAAAUUUAAGGGGAUAGUCAAGGUAUUGGCUGCCUUUCUGCAUAUGCAAUUUUAAAAUUCUUAUUACCUAUUUUUUUUCCUGUUUCCCCUCCAUAUAGUAUUUGCCUAGAGCAGUAGCUUCGCUUCCACAUACUUAUCUUGAAUUGCACAUGAUUAUUAGGGCCGAGUAAUUUUGUUUGCUGAGGAAAUACCCUUACAGUGACUUACAGAUUUUAAAAUAAUUAUAAAAGAAACUUAAGGCCUGCCACUUAUGUUGGCAUUUUGUAUUUUGCUCAUGAUAACCCAGUAAAAACAUUCUCUUCUAGUGAUGUAUUGUGUCCUCAUCUAAAAGCAAUGUUAAUUUAUUUCCUCAUUUUAUUUUUAGCAUCCUUUUGGGAUGGAAUUCAAGAUAAACAUAAAAUAAUGCUUGAAAUCUGUUCUUUCUGUCCAUCCUUUACAAAUCCAUAGCCGUAAGGCUCCCUGCACCAUAUUUCCUUUACGCCCGCUGAGAAAGUAACUAUUUUGCAUAGCAGUUCUCUGUUUUGUAGAGGCAGUGAUGAAGCAGAGGAUGUGCGUUAUGUUGAGGAGCUGCACAUAAGCUUUCAUGCAGAUGUGCUGUACUGUCAGAAGGGAUAUAUGAUGAUCCAAACACCAGUCCUGUUCUACACCAGUAUUUAUUCAACAUGUCUGCAUCAGUGUUGCUGCAUCAAUGCAGAACUCCCCAGAGUAGGUGACCCUUCAGUUGUUUUGCUGCUUUGACAAACUGCUGGUGGUGGUGGUAUCUGCAGUGGCGUACAAAAGACCGCAAGCUCCCGCAUGGACUGGUGUGAACACAAGUCCUAUUUUGCUUCAGAGGUGGCAACCUUUAGCAGAAGAAUGAUACAGGGUGGACAGGUGGGGGCAGUAAGAUCUUAAAGUACCGCAGCCAAAUCUGUGAGAACCUGUUUGUUUAAAACCUUUGUAUGAACUCACUGAACUUGAAUUUGAAAGAGAAAGCAUCUACAGCCUGUCAUGAUGAUAGAGAUUGCAUAGCAAUUGGAAACAAAAGACUUUUGGAUUAACACGGCAGAAUUUGAGCAGCUUCAAUGGAACUACUCUGAAUUUAUUCUAAUAUAGCCAAAGGCAUGGUUUUACGCUCAGCUUUUUGUCUUAGUUGAUAAAGAAUAUCUGCUUGCAGUCUUGUAAAGUAAGAAUCGUAGUAACCUAAAUUUGUGGCAUUUCAGAGAGAUGGAAUAUGGUACACAAUAAAAGAAAGCUGCACAAAAGA